Molecule: ribosomal RNA, 373 nt
Filed under: uncultured Bacteroidota bacterium
Lineage: Bacteria; Pseudomonadati; Bacteroidota
Description: bacterial SSU rRNA
Rfam family: Bacterial small subunit ribosomal RNA
Source: RNAcentral
UAAUACGGAGGAUCCAAGCGUUAUCCGGAAUCAUUGGGUUUAAAGGGUCCGUAGGCGGGUUUGUAAGUCAGUGGUGAAAGUUUGCGGCUCAACCGUAAAAUUGCCAUUGAUACUGCAAGUCUUGAAUUAUUGUGAAGUGGUUAGAAUGUGUAGUGUAGCGGUGAUAUGCAUAGAUAUUACACAGAAUACCGAUUGCGAAGGCAGAUCACUAACAAUAUAUUGACGCUAAGGGACGAAAGCGUGGGUAGCGAACAGGAUUAGAUACCCUGGUAGUCCACGCCGUAAACGAUGGUUACUAGCUGUUUGAACUUCGGUUUAAGUGGCUAAGCGAAAGUGAUAAGUAACCCACCUGGGGAGUACGUUCGCAAGAAUG